UUUCUACUCCCUCCGUCCGAAAAUACUUGUCAUCAAAAUGGAUAAAAAGAGAUGUAUCUAAAACUAAAAUACGUCUAGAUACAUUUCCUUUUAUCCAUUUUGAUGACAAGUAUUUCCAGACGGAGGGAGUAUUUG
Molecule: non-coding RNA, 135 nt
Organism: Triticum aestivum (bread wheat)
Lineage: Eukaryota; Viridiplantae; Streptophyta; Magnoliopsida; Poales; Poaceae
Source: Rfam